GUGAAGAACGUAGCGAAAUGCGAUACGUAAUGUGAAUUGCAGAAUUCAGUGAAUCAUCGAGUCUUUGAACGCACAUUGCGCCCCCUGGUAUUCCGGGGGGCAUGCCUGUCCGAGCGUCAUUGCUGCCCUCAAGCACGGCUUGUGUGUUGGGCCUCCGUCCUCCUCCCGGGGGACGGGCCCGAAAGGCAGCGGCGGCACCGCGUCCGGUCCUCGAGCGUAUGGGGCUUCGUCACCCGCUCUUGUAGGCCCGGCCGGCGCUUGCCGACACAUCAAUCUUUUUUCCAGGUUGGCCUCGGAUCAGGUAGGGAUACCCGCUGAACUUAAGCAUAUCAAUAAGCGGAGGA
RNAcentral lists this unclassified non-coding RNA (344 nucleotides) under soil metagenome. Its description in RNAcentral is "partial contains 5.8S ribosomal RNA, internal transcribed spacer 2, and large subunit ribosomal RNA". The stretch from base 2 to 119 matches the Rfam family "5.8S ribosomal RNA", at positions 37 to 154 of the family's 154-position model. The record is from RNAcentral.